This is a long non-coding RNA of Malania oleifera, 799 nucleotides long. RefSeq lists it as uncharacterized. Lineage: Eukaryota; Viridiplantae; Streptophyta; Magnoliopsida; Santalales; Ximeniaceae. The record is from RefSeq and is a predicted model, not a curated record. The transcript has 3 exons.
CUCUCUCUCUCUCUCUCUCUCUCUCUCUCUCUCUCUCAGAUCCUUUGUCGUUCGUCUUCCGUUUCCAAAAACGGAGAGUACUGUGUGGAUCCGAAGAGGAAACUCUACACUUUUAGUGGAUCGGAUCGUCGUUUCGGAGAGUUUCGGGUUUUCCCAAGAAUCGAGGUUUUCGGGAUCUCGGGUUGUCGUUUUGGACCGUUUUCGUAUGAAGUUUCAUUUCGAGUAUAAGAGUUGAAAUAAACUACUGUUAUAUGAUACGGCGCGAUAUCGUAGCUAGAUGUACACGUGCCACCAUACAUACUACACGAUGUGGGUACCAAGAUGGUCGGCUAGCAGGGUGAAACCAUUAGCUGAUAUUAGGCCAAUGGAGGCCGUCGGAUCGUAAGUAGGUACUCGACAAUGCCUGCACGAACAGGGCAUUGGACGAGUAUCAGUGCACACCCGGGCCACGGGGUAAAACUGGUUAUAGAGAUAUUUUGUUGUUGGUCAUCUAAUAAAUCAUAAAAUGGUCGAAAGACAAAUGUGGGAAUUUUGUAAUAUGAAUAAUAUUAUAAUUGAUGGGUUACUGUAUUGAAAAUAUUUGAUUUAUAUUCCAGAUGUUGAAUGAAAAUAUGCAUGUAUGCAGUCACACACUGCUGUAACUCCUUCUUCCUUACUGAGAGGUGUCUCACCCUAUCAUACAACCUUUAUUUUCAGGUCCAUUAGUGCGUCAGUCCUAAUAGCUAAAAGGACUGGGAGAUUGUUUUUGAACAGCUUACGUAAGCAUUUGAAUCAUGUAGUAAAUCUUAGAUGAAGUUCC